Molecule: ribosomal RNA, 492 nt
Filed under: uncultured bacterium
Lineage: Bacteria
Description: partial 16S ribosomal RNA
Rfam family: Bacterial small subunit ribosomal RNA
Source: RNAcentral
AGUGAACGCUGGCGGUAGGCCUAACACAUGCAAGUCGAACGGCAUCACAGUAAUAUCUUGCUCUUACGGGUGGCGAGUGGCGGACUGGUGAGUAAUAAAUCUGAAUCUACGUUUUCGUUGGGGAUAACGUAGGGAAACUUACGCUAAUACCUCAUACGACCUACGGUUGAAAGAAUAGGAUCUUCGGACCUUGCGCGAUUGAAUGAUCCGAUGUCGGAUUAGCUAGUUGGCGGGGUAAAGGCCCACCAAGGAGAGGAUCCGUAGCUGGUCUGCGAGGAUGAUCAGCCACCCUGGAAGUGGGAAACGGCCCAGAGUGACACGGAAGGCAGCCGUAGGGCAUCUUGGGCAAGGAGCGGAAGACAGAUCAAGCCAUACCGCGUGGGUGAAGCAGGAAUUCGGGUUGUAAAACCACUUUGUUGGGAAAGAAAAGUACUAGGUGAAUACAACGAAGAUAUGACGGUACCCAAAGAAUAAGCAACGGCUAAAUUCGUG